This 222-nucleotide ribosomal RNA is filed under the name uncultured Desulfurivibrio sp. RNAcentral's name for it is "partial 16S ribosomal RNA". It matches the Rfam family "Bacterial small subunit ribosomal RNA", at positions 1160 to 1382 of the family's 1533-position model. Lineage: Bacteria; Pseudomonadati; Thermodesulfobacteriota; Desulfobulbia; Desulfobulbales; Desulfobulbaceae. The record is from RNAcentral.
GAACCGGAGGAAGGUGGGAUGACGUCAAGUCCUCAUGGCCUUUAUGUCUAGGGCUACACACGUACUACAAUGGCCGGUACAAAGGGCAGCCACUCAGCGAUGAGGCGCUAAUCCCAUAAAGCCGGUCUCAGUCCGGAUCGCAGUCUGCAACUCGACUGCGUGAAGUUGGAAUCGCUAGUAAUCGUAGAUCAGCAUGCUACGGUGAAUACGUUCCCGGGCCUU